Molecule: long non-coding RNA, 312 nt
Filed under: Nicotiana benthamiana
Lineage: Eukaryota; Viridiplantae; Streptophyta; Magnoliopsida; Solanales; Solanaceae
Description: long non-coding RNA (NBEN_LNC042197)
Source: RNAcentral
GAAAAAUACAGAAAAAGGCAGACAGCUAAAGUUUUUACUGUUCCAUUGAAUUUUUUUCCUUUUCCUUUGAUUUAUGAAGUUUUACAAGUCCUGAAACAUUUUCUGAUUCGUCUAAGCCUUAGAAUGAGUUGAAUUUGGCUGUUUCUGCAAAUUGAUUCUGGAUUGAGUUUUGUGUUUGGAGUCCUAAUCAAAUCUGGAGUUUCAAAUUGAUUCAAAUGACAUUUGAUAUCUCCUCUUUGCUGUUCCUGGGGUGACUGUACUGAUGCUGUUGAUUAACUCCUUGUUCUCUUAUUUUUUUUUCUUCAAUUCCAG